AUUGAACGCUGGCGGCAGGCCUAACACAUGCAAGUCGAACGGUAACAGGAAGCAGCUUGCUGCUUUGCUGACGAGUGGCGGACGGGUGAGUAAUGUCUGGGAAGCUGCCUGAUGGAGGGGGAUAACUACUGGAAACGGUAGCUAAUACCGCAUAAUGUCGCAAGACCAAAGAGGGGGACCUUCGGGCCUCUUGCCAUCGGAUGUGCCCAGAUGGGAUUAGCUAGUAGGUGGGGUAAAGGCUCACCUAGGCGACGAUCCCUAGCUGGUCUGAGAGGAUGACCAGCCACACUGGAACUGAGACACGGUCCAGACUCCUACGGGAGGCAGCAGUGGGGAAUAUUGCACAAUGGGCGCAAGCCUGAUGCAGCCAUGCCGCGUGUAUGAAGAAGGCCUUCGGGUUGUAAAGUACUUUCAGCGGGGAGGAAGGGAGUAAAGUUAAUACCUUUGCUCAUUGACGUUACCCGCAGAAGAAGCACCGGCUAACUCCGUG
This 490-nucleotide ribosomal RNA is filed under the name uncultured bacterium. RNAcentral's name for it is "partial 16S ribosomal RNA". It matches the Rfam family "Bacterial small subunit ribosomal RNA", at positions 30 to 507 of the family's 1533-position model. The record is from RNAcentral.